GACGAACGCUGGCGGCGUGCCUAAUACAUGCAAGUAGAACGCUGAAGGAGGAGCUUGCUUCUCUGGAUGAGUUGCGAACGGGUGAGUAACGCGUAGGUAACCUGCCUGGUAGCGGGGGAUAACUAUUGGAAACGAUAGCUAAUACCGCAUAAGAGUAGAUGUCGCAUGACAUUUGCUUAAAAGGUGCAAUUGCAUCACUACCAGAUGGACCUGCGUUGUAUUAGCUAGUUGGUGAGGUAACGGCUCACCAAGGCAACGAUACAUAGCCGACCUGAGAGGGUGAUCGGCCACACUGGGACUGAGACACGGCCCAGACUGCUACGGGAGGCAGCAGUAGGGAAUCGUCGGCAAUGGACGGAAGUCUGACCGAGCAACGCCGCGUGAGUGAAGAAGGUUUUCGGAUCGUAAAGCUCUGUUGUAAGAGAAGAACGAGUGUGAGAGUGGAAAGUUCACACUGUGACGGUAUCUUACCAGAAAGGGACGGCUAACUACGUG
Molecule: ribosomal RNA, 495 nt
Filed under: uncultured bacterium
Lineage: Bacteria
Description: partial 16S ribosomal RNA
Rfam family: Bacterial small subunit ribosomal RNA
Source: RNAcentral